Molecule: ribosomal RNA, 497 nt
Filed under: uncultured bacterium
Lineage: Bacteria
Description: partial 16S ribosomal RNA
Rfam family: Bacterial small subunit ribosomal RNA
Source: RNAcentral
GAUGAACGCUGGCGGCGUGCCUAAUACAUGCAAGUCGAGCGAACAGAUGAGGAGCUUGCUCCUCUGACGUUAGCGGCGGACGGGUGAGUAACACGUGGAUAACCUACCUAUAAGACGGGGAUAACUUCGGGAAACCGGAGCUAAUACCGGAUAAUAUAUUGAACCGCAUGGAUCAAUAGUGAAAGACGGUUUUGCUGUCACUUAUAGAUGGAUCCGCGCCGCAUUAGCUAGUUGGUAAGGUAACGGCUUACCAAGGCAACGAUGCGUAGCCGACCUGAGAGGGUGAUCGGCCACACUGGAACUGAGACACGGUCCAGACUCCUACGGGAGGCAGCAGUAGGGAAUCUUCCGCAAUGGGCGAAAGCCUGACGGAGCAACGCCGCGUGAGUGAUGAAGGUCUUCGGAUCGUAAAGCUCUGUUAUUAGGGAAGAACAAAUGUGUAAGUAACUAUGCACGUCUUGACGGUACCUAAUCAGAAAGCCACGGCUAACUACGUG